Molecule: small nuclear RNA, 83 nt
Filed under: Fukomys damarensis (Damara mole-rat)
Lineage: Eukaryota; Metazoa; Chordata; Mammalia; Rodentia; Bathyergidae
Description: U4 spliceosomal RNA (ENSFDAG00000019794.1)
Rfam family: U4 spliceosomal RNA
About the family: U4 small nuclear RNA (U4 snRNA) is a component of the major U2-dependent spliceosome. The structure of U4 snRNA from yeast and human has been reported.
Source: RNAcentral
AGCCUUGCAUGGUGGCGGUAUCAUAGCCAAUGAGGUUUAUCCAACGCGUGAUUAUUGCUAAUUGAAAACUCUUCCCAAUACUU